Molecule: ribosomal RNA, 497 nt
Filed under: uncultured bacterium
Lineage: Bacteria
Description: partial 16S ribosomal RNA
Rfam family: Bacterial small subunit ribosomal RNA
Source: RNAcentral
GAUGAACGCUGGCGGCGUGCCUAAUACAUGCAAGUCGAGCGAACAGAUGAGGAGCUUGCUCCUCUGACGUUAGCGGCGGACGGGUGAGUAACACGUGGAUAACCUACCUAUAAGACUGGGAUAACUUCGGGAAACCGGAGCUAAUACCGGAUAAUAUAUUGAACCGCAUGGUUCAAUAGUGAAAGACGGUUUUGCUGUCACUUAUAGAUGGAUCCGCGCCGCAUUAGCUAGUUGGUAAGGUAACGGCUUACCAAGGCAACGAUGCGUAGCCGACCUGAGAGGGUGAUCGGCCACACUGGAACUGAGACACGGUCCCGACUCCUACGGGAGGCAGCAGUAGGGAAUCUUCCGCAAUGGGCGAAAGCCUGACGGAGCACCGCCGCGUGAGUGAUGAAGGUCUUCGGAUCGUAAAACUCUGUUAUUAGGGAAGAACAAAUGUGUAAGUAACUAUGCACGUCUUGACGGUACCUAAUCAGAAAGCCACGGCUAACUACGUG